AUGGCUGUGAGCUUCACAGGUGGUCAGGUCGUGACCCUGACUGAAUCUGAGUCUGUGGUCAUUAAUCCUGGAGGAUCUCACAAACUGACCUGCACAGCCUCUGGGUUCACAUUCAGUAGCUACUGGAUGGUCUGGGUCAGACAGGCUCCUGGGAAAGGCCUGGAAUGGUUGUCAGCUAUCACAGGUGGUGGCACUACAUAUUAUUCAAGCUCUGCACAGGGACGAUUCAGCAUCUCCAGAGACAACAACAAGAAUCAACUCUAUCUGCAGAUGGGCAGUCUGAAGACUGAGGACACAGCUGUUUAUUACUGUGCUCGAGAGUCACAGUGGUGUGAAAGUCUGCAGCACA
Non-coding RNA from Clupea harengus (Atlantic herring), 349 nucleotides. Lineage: Eukaryota; Metazoa; Chordata; Actinopteri; Clupeiformes; Clupeidae. The record is from the annotation of a RefSeq genome assembly.